This 253-nucleotide ribosomal RNA is filed under the name uncultured bacterium. RNAcentral's name for it is "partial 16S ribosomal RNA". It matches the Rfam family "Bacterial small subunit ribosomal RNA", at positions 524 to 776 of the family's 1533-position model. The record is from RNAcentral.
UACGUAGGGUGCGAGCGUUAAUCGGAAUUACUGGGCGUAAAGCGUGCGCAGGCGGUUCGUGAUGUCUGGUGUGAAAGCCCCGGGCUUAACCUGGGAAUUGCAUUGGAAACUAGCGGGCUGGAGUGUGGCAGAGGGGGGUGGAAUUCCACGUGUAGCAGUGAAAUGCGUAGAUAUCAGGAGGAAUACCGAUGGCGAAGGCAGGUCUCUGGGCUGACACUGACGCUCAUGCACGAAAGCGUGGGGAGCAAACAGG